RNAcentral lists this unclassified non-coding RNA (265 nucleotides) under Hevea brasiliensis (rubber tree). The record is from RNAcentral. Lineage: Eukaryota; Viridiplantae; Streptophyta; Magnoliopsida; Malpighiales; Euphorbiaceae.
GCUUGAGGUGUUGGAUGGGGCGUCGCUACCGACGAGGGGAUCGGAUGAGUUCAAGCCGUUUAUUCGCCGGCUCCCGGAGUUCAAGUUCUGGUAUUCUAUAACGAAAGCUUUCUGCGUAGCCUUUGUGAUGACCUUUUUCUCUGUGUUCGAUGUUCCUGUCUUUUGGCCUAUACUUUUGUGCUACUGGAUUGUUCUCUUUGUGCUGACGAUGAAGCGCCAAAUUCUACAUAUGAUCAAAUACAAAUAUGUACCUUUCAACAUUGGG